RNAcentral lists this ribosomal RNA (953 nucleotides) under Alexandrium fundyense. RNAcentral describes it as "LSU rRNA". It matches the Rfam family "Eukaryotic large subunit ribosomal RNA", at positions 1 to 905 of the family's 3401-position model. The record is from RNAcentral. Lineage: Eukaryota; Dinophyceae; Gonyaulacales; Pyrocystaceae.
GCUUAGCAUGAAGUGAAGCACAUACACCUGCUGAGUUUAAGCAUAUAAGUAAGUGGUGGAAAUUAAACCAAAUGGGAUAUCUUUAGUAAUUGCGAAUGAACAAGGAUAUGCUUAGCUUGACAAAUGGAGCUAUUGGCUUUGAAUUGUAUUGUGGAAAUGUAUUACCAACAGAGGUGCAGGUGCCAGCCUAUUGAAAUAAAGCGUCAAUGGGGGUGAGAAUCCUGUUUGUCAAGUGCAGCCCUUUGUGCACGGUGUAUAUUUGCUGAGUCACACUCCUUGGCAUUGGAAUGCAAAGUGGGUGGUAAGUUUCAUGUAAAGGUAAACAUGCAAUUGAGACUGAUAGCACACAAGUACCAUGAGGGAAAUAUGAAAAGGACUUUGAAAAGAGAAUUAAAUGAGUUUGUAUUUGCUGAACACAAAGUAAACAGACUUGAUUUGCUUGGUGGGAGUGUUGCACUUGCUUGACAAGAGCUUUGGGCUGUGGGUGUAAUGAUUCUUUCUUUGCAUGCCAGUUUCUAUUUGUACAUCUGAUUACCUUUGCACAUGAAUGAUAAGUCUCCUGUGGGGGGUGGAUUGCAUGUGCAUGUAAUGAUUUGUGUUUUGAUACAUGUGUCUGGUGUAUGUGUGUGUGUUCCUGUGCUUGGGGAUGCUUCCUUCCUUGGACUUACAAGCCCUGACACACACAUGCUGGCAAAAUGCUUCUGCUUGACCCGUCUUGAAACACGGACCAAGGAGUCUAACAGAUGUGCAAAGUUUGAAGGUGGUAUACCUUUGUGUGCAAUGAAAGUGUCAGCUGGGAUAUGUGCACCAGCACCCAAUUAAUUAGCGGACAGAGGUUUGAGUUGGAGCAUAUCUAUUAGGACCCGAAAGAUGGUGAACUAUGCCUGAACAGAAUGAAUUCAGAGGAAACUCUGAUGGAGGUUCGUAUCGAUACUGACGUGCAAAUCGUUCGU